GUAGGGAAUCUUCGGCAAUGGACGAAAGUCUGACCGAGCAACGCCGCGUGAGUGAAGAAGGUUUUCGGAUCGUAAAGCUCUGUUGUAAGUCAAGAACGUGUGUGAGAGUGGAAAGUUCACACAGUGACGGUAGCUUACCAGAAAGGGACGGCUAACUACGUGCCAGCAGCCGCGGUAAUACGUAGGUCCCGAGCGUUGUCCGGAUUUAUUGGGCGUAAAGGGAGCGCAGGCGGUCAGGAAAGUCUGGAGUAAAAGGCUAUGGCUCAACCAUAGUGUGCUCUGGAAACUGUCUGACUUGAGUGCAGAAGGGGAGAGUGGAAUUCCAUGUGUAGCGGUGAAAUGCGUAGAUAUAUGGAGGAACACCAGUGGCGAAAGCGGCUCUCUGGUCUGUCACUGACGCUGAGGCUCGAAAGCGUGGGUAGCGAACAGGAUUAGAAACCCGGGUAGUCC
Molecule: ribosomal RNA, 450 nt
Filed under: uncultured bacterium
Lineage: Bacteria
Description: bacterial SSU rRNA
Rfam family: Bacterial small subunit ribosomal RNA
Source: RNAcentral